RNAcentral lists this ribosomal RNA (1447 nucleotides) under Bacillus cereus. RNAcentral's name for it is "bacterial SSU rRNA". It matches the Rfam family "Bacterial small subunit ribosomal RNA". The record is from RNAcentral. Lineage: Bacteria; Bacillati; Bacillota; Bacilli; Caryophanales; Bacillaceae.
GGCAAGGGCGCAUCUACACAUGCAGUCGUAGCGAAGUGUGAUCUACGGAGCUUGCUCUUAUGAAGUUAGCGGCGGACGGGUGAGUAACACGUGGGUAACCUGCCCAUAAGACUGGGAUAACUCCGGGAAACCGGGGCUAAUACCGGAUAACAUUUUGAACCGCAUGGUUCGAAAUUGAAAGGCGGCUUCGGCUGUCACUUAUGGAUGGACCCGCGUCGCAUUAGCUAGUUGGUGAGGUAACGGCUCACCAAGGCAACGAUGCGUAGCCGACCUGAGAGGGUGAUCGGCCACACUGGGACUGAGACACGGCCCAGACUCCUACGGGAGGCAGCAGUAGGGAAUCUUCCGCAAUGGACGAAAGUCUGACGGAGCAACGCCGCGUGAGUGAUGAAGGCUUUCGGGUCGUAAAACUCUGUUGUUAGGGAAGAACAAGUGCUAGUUGAAUAAGCUGGCACCUUGACGGUACCUAACCAGAAAGCCACGGCUAACUACGUGCCAGCAGCCGCGGUAAUACGUAGGUGGCAAGCGUUAUCCGGAAUUAUUGGGCGUAAAGCGCGCGCAGGUGGUUUCUUAAGUCUGAUGUGAAAGCCCACGGCUCAACCGUGGAGGGUCAUUGGAAACUGGGAGACUUGAGUGCAGAAGAGGAAAGUGGAAUUCCAUGUGUAGCGGUGAAAUGCGUAGAGAUAUGGAGGAACACCAGUGGCGAAGGCGACUUUCUGGUCUGUAACUGACACUGAGGCGCGAAAGCGUGGGGAGCAAACAGGAUUAGAUACCCUGGUAGUCCACGCCGUAAACGAUGAGUGCUAAGUGUUAGAGGGUUUCCGCCCUUUAGUGCUGAAGUUAACGCAUUAAGCACUCCGCCUGGGGGAGUACGGCCGCAAGGCUGAAACUCAAAGGAAUUGACGGGGGCCCGCACAAGCGGUGGAACCAUGUGGUUUAAUUCGAAGCAACGCGAAGAACCUUACCAGGUCUUGACAUCCUCUGAAAACCCUAGAGAUAGGGCUUCUCCUUCGGGAGCAGAGUGACAGGUGGUUGCAUGGUUGUCGUCAGCUCGUGUCGUGAGAAGUUUGGGUUAAGUCCCGCAACGAGCGCAACCCUUGAUCUUAGUUGCCAUCAUUAAGUUGGGCACUCUAAGGUGACUGCCGGUGACAAACCGGAGGAAAGGGUGGGGGAAUAACGUCAAAUCAUCAUGGCCCCUUAUGAACCUGGGCUACACACCUGGCUACAAUGGGACGGUACAAAAAACUGCCAAAACCGCCGGGGGGGAGCUAAUCUCCUAAAAACCGUUUUUAAUUUUGGAAUUGUAGGCGGCCACUCCCCCAACUGAAGCCUGGAAACCCUUUUAAUCCCGGAUAAACAAGGCCGCCGGUAAAAAAUUUCCCGGGCUUUGUAACACCGCCCGGUCAACACCAAGAUUUUUAAACCCCCAAACCCGGGGGGAACCUCU